UCUAGGCCAGUUCUGACCACACUGGAUCUCCUCUGUGUUUUUUUAAUCCCAUGUCGGACCGAGCCUCUACAAGCUUUGGGCCGUCAGAAGAUGCUGAUGAGAUCUACAGCGACCAAACCAGAGGAGCAUCAUCUGAGCUGCUGACCUUUACAAAAAACCCUGUGGACGUCCAAAAGCAGAACUCCUGUGAGGAACCGGGACCUCCAGGAUGCUGAGGAGCCUCCUAGUCCCCACCUGAGGACGGCACAGAGGAACACACCUGGAGAGAAGCAGGUUGAAUAUGGAAGCAGUGAUCUAGCAGUGGGAUCUCAGUGGAGCAGAGUCCAUCCACACGUGUUUGAAGGAGCUGAAGCAGAGGAUGGAGAACACAGACCACUAAGGAGGAGAAACAUGGCUCCUCUAUUUGUCUCUCCAACAUUCUGGAGUCCUGGACUGAAAAACAUUGAAGACCCCACAACUAAACCAUCAGUCUGCUCCACCCAGAAAGAAGAUGGUCAGCUGCUCCUUGGACCGGCGCCUCUGUGUCUGUUGGACGUCUGCUGUCCUGUUAAAGACUCGCUCGGCAGCAGUAGAUGGGCGCUGACAUGGAGCCGGGUUCUUCUGGAGGAUCCUUCCUGCUUAAAGCUAGUUUUCCUCUCUACUGUCACCACUUCAUUGCUCAGGAGGAGGGACUGCUGCAUUCAUGACUGGAUGUGAUUGGCUGAGCUUCCCUGGAUUGAAUAUGUUUCUUUAAACGUUAUAAUUCACUAAAUUUAUCUUCAUCAUAUUGUAAAUAGGAUCUAACUGGAUGUUUAUAAAUUAAUUUAAUUCUGUUUGUGUUGAAUUCUGUUACAUGUUUCUGUUUUAAAGCUCUCAUGUAAAUUGCCUUGAUAUAACAUUAGCUGUGAUUUGUUUUUAUUUUAAAAGACUGAAUUAUAUCAAAUCUUGCCUAAUGAGUCUGGUUCUCUCAGGUUCUUCCUGUCAUUCUAUC
This is a long non-coding RNA of Cyprinodon tularosa, 970 nucleotides long. RefSeq lists it as uncharacterized. The transcript is spliced from 5 exons. The record is from RefSeq and is a predicted model, not a curated record. Lineage: Eukaryota; Metazoa; Chordata; Actinopteri; Cyprinodontiformes; Cyprinodontidae.